RNAcentral lists this long non-coding RNA (349 nucleotides) under Trifolium pratense (red clover). RNAcentral describes it as "long non-coding RNA (TPRA_LNC008252)". The record is from RNAcentral. Lineage: Eukaryota; Viridiplantae; Streptophyta; Magnoliopsida; Fabales; Fabaceae.
AUUUGCCUCUUUCUAUUUUUUAAAAAAUAUUGUUGCUUAGUUGUCAUAUUUAUUAGGAUUUGUUUCUAUCUUUUAGCUAAUAAUCCCUACUUUUUAGGAGUUUUUAGUGGGAUUUUUUUCUCCACUGCAAUAAUAUGAUUGAUUUUGUUGAAUUUCAGAUUUUUUUUUUAGAUUUGUAUCAAUUUUAAUUUGUUUUAUUUGGUAUUUGUAAACUUUAAUUGAGGAGAAAACCAAACCGAUAUACUAUUACUUUUAAUAAGAUUUUUUAUUUCAAAAUUUUAAUUUCCGAUUCAAUCUAUAAACUUUUUUAUAAGUAAUAAUUUAGUUUGAUUGAAUGUGUUUUGCAAAU